This is a long non-coding RNA of Suricata suricatta (meerkat), 616 nucleotides long. RefSeq lists it as uncharacterized. The record is from RefSeq and is a predicted model, not a curated record. NCBI's taxonomy places the organism in Eukaryota, Metazoa, Chordata, Mammalia, Carnivora, Herpestidae. The transcript has 2 exons.
UGCCUUUCCCUCUGAGUUCCUCCAAAGAGCUGUUGUAUUUCUUGUGUCACCUUAGCAAACCACCUGGCAAGGAGCAGUUGCUUUUAUAAAAUUGACUGAACGAAUACAUGAAUGAAUACCAGGACACGGAAUCACUCUACAACCUUUCCAGAGACUCUAGAUCGAGCGGUCUUGCAGCAUCCACCGCCUCCUCAUAUCUCACUUUCAUUCAGAAUUACUAAUACAGUAUCAAAUCAAGCUCCUGGCAAGAAAAUAAUAGUAAAGCAUCUCAACCAUUUGGCGUUUCUGACAAUAUAUUUAUUUUGUUGGCUCGCAUACAACAGAGAGUGAAAAUGGAACCAAAGCCCCUCGUCUCCCAUCAAGCAAACAUAGACACAUCCAAGGACUGGGCUGCAAGCGGAGCCCACCGCCCAGAGCCCUGGGCAGGCGGCUGCAGUCACUGGCGCUGCAGCAGUAACAGGCGCCACAGACCCAGGACUGCAGAAGCAGAAAUCAUGCUCAUAAACAUGCCCGACUCAAAGAACGUAUCCCCCAUAUCUCUAAUAAUUUCAGGAUUACACGCUAAAUCACACGUGCAUCUUAAAAUCCUGUACAACAUAAAACUUUUCAACUGUUA